GUGGAAGGUAAUGUUAGGCGAUGUCUACAACGCACUUUGUUCCGGAUGUCUUUUCGACGGAAAUUUUUUCUGCUAUGCUUUGUUCCAGUUUUCUGUUAGCAUAACGGUGCAUGUUUUUCAAUUUUACUACGUGUAUUUCUUUUUGGACAUUUAUGGCGUAUCUCAAUAUUGCUUUCAAAUAUCACAGUUUUCGUUCAUUAUUUGGAAUAUUGUAAACGAGGUGUUUUUCGGCUGGCUACAGGACCAUGCAUCAGUUGUGUGGCUUCGGUCAAGACAGUUGAAUAUUUUAUACUGCGGACCUUUAUUUGGCUUCGCAUUUUUGUUCGGUUGGUUUAAGUUCUACGACAUCUUUUCUUUGAGAGGCGAUUAUUGGCCGUGCAUUCAUUUGAUUGCAACAUUAUAUUUUUGGACAACGGUGUUGUCUUUUCUCCAUAUGGCACAUUGCUCGUUGUUCACUGAAGUAACCUUUGAUCAUAACUCACGCGUUAGGCUGACAAAGUAUCAACGUGUAGCAGCAAUAUGUGGAUUUUGGGCAGUUCCUCUUGUCGAGUAUGGUUACGACUCCUUUAAUGAAACAGGUCUCUACUGCAGCUUGAUUUUCAUUGCAUUACUUGCAUCAGUGUUUACUUUCAUGACUGGUUACUUCACUGAGUCGAGAAUAAACAGAACGAAGUUGGAGGAAUUGUUUGACCACAAACACUUAGAAGAGCUAUCCUUGUUUUCUUCACAGUAUUUGAGAUUAAAUCUCAAAAUACUAUGGAAUCGGAAGUUUCUCUCGUUUGUUGCGAUGCAAUUUUUAGCAGUCGGACUUCACAAUUUUGGAGCGAAUUUUACUAAGAUUAUCACUGAGGAUUUAAAUCUCUUCGAGGAAACAAAAUUGGGCAAACUUUUGUUUUUUCUAAUCAAUUCAAUCGGAGGAAAUGUUUUGGUCUUAUUUUUUACUCCUUUCUUGGAAAGAUUCGGCUCAGAUGUGGUUACGAAGGCAUCAUUUUUUGUAGUUAUUAUCAGCAGCGUCUCACUCUACUUUUUCCAGAAUUCGUUUCUUGUGAUUAUACAUCUAAUGGUUAUCAAUCUUGUAUCAACGGGAGUGAGUAUUCUUGCGAAUAUUUUUGUCUCUAAUAUUAUAGAGGAAGACCAGAUUCUCCACAGGCGUCCGUUGCCUUUGUCUUCUAUGUUCUUCGCGCUGAC
Molecule: long non-coding RNA, 1188 nt
Organism: Symsagittifera roscoffensis
Lineage: Eukaryota; Metazoa; Xenacoelomorpha; Acoela; Convolutidae
Exons: 3
Source: RefSeq, a predicted model, not a curated record